RNAcentral lists this non-coding RNA (45 nucleotides) under Schistosoma curassoni. The record is from RNAcentral. Lineage: Eukaryota; Metazoa; Platyhelminthes; Trematoda; Strigeidida; Schistosomatidae.
AUCUAACUGAAAAGUCCCAAAUAGGACGAAAUGCGCAUCCUGAAU